This is a long non-coding RNA of Gordionus sp. m RMFG-2023, 739 nucleotides long. RefSeq lists it as uncharacterized. Lineage: Eukaryota; Metazoa; Nematomorpha; Gordioida; Chordodea; Parachordodidae. The transcript is spliced from 3 exons. The record is from RefSeq and is a predicted model, not a curated record.
CAAUUCCUAUAAGUCAAGACCAAGAAUAUGUUGUCCAGGUAUUGUAAGCAACUUGAUGGAUUGUUCAAGGAUGGACUUCCAGAAUAAAGCCCCAUCAACUCUCUAUAUCAAUAACCAUACUUCACAAUGAUUAAAAGUACUAAAAAAGCAAACUCUCCACACCAGAAAAAUCACAAUCAUUGAAAUUAUGAAGAGCAUUUCAAACUCAACUCUGGUCAGAACAGGGUUGCCAUGUCUCCCCCCCCAUCAGCGGAAGACUUUCGCACGCAGACAUCUCUCUUCCGCAAAACUAUCACAAUUAAAAAUCUCCCGCAAAAAUCUACCGCAAUAUUUUAAUUUCUCCCGCAGUACCUUUUAUGUAUUUAAAGUGAUACGUGAUAAUUAAGCGCCUAUCCCUAUAAUGUUAUACACACACACACGGUAGAUUUCCGAUUGCGGUCGCUUUACGGGACAUUCGCAUAAAAUAUAUUUUUAAUUGUAAAAUUAAAAUCUUAGCAAUUUUUAUAUUUCUACCGCAAUUUUUAUAUUUCUACCGCAAUUUUUAUAUUUCCAAUUUUUAUAUUUCUACCGCAAUUUUUAUAUUUCUACCCCAAUUUUUAUAUUUCUACCGCAAUUUUUAUAUUUCUCCCGCAAUUUGAAAAUUUUGACCUGGCAACCCUGGGUCAGAAUGAUAAUUAGAGAAAUAAUAAAUUGGGUUUCAUAUUCCCCGUGAUACCAAUGAGCUUAAUUAUUAAAUUAU